UUCGUGUGAACAGUGGUUGAUCACGAGUUAGUCGGUCCUAAGUUCAAGGCGAAAGCCGAAAAUUUUCAAGUAAAAAAAAAUGCAUUAUAUUUAAAACUUUGUUUAUUUACCAUACUUGAAUAAUUUUGAACGAAAGGGAAUACGGUUCCAAUUCCGUAACCUGUUGAGUAUCCGUUUGUUAUUAAAUAUGGGCCUCGUGCUCAUCCUGGCAACAGGAACGACCAUAAAGAAGCCGUCGAGAGAUAUCGGAAGAGUUUUCUUUUCUGUUUUAUAGCCGUACUACCAUGGAAGUCUUUCGCAGAGAGAUAUGGUAGAUGGGCUAGAAGAGCAUGACAUAUACUGUUGUGUCGAUAUUUUCUCCUCGGACCUUGAAAAUUUAUGGUGGGGAUACGCAAACUUCUCAACAGGCCGUACCAAUAUCCGCAGCUGGUCUCCAAGGUGAAGAGUCUCUAGUCGAUAGAAUA
RNAcentral lists this ribosomal RNA (464 nucleotides) under Dichaetophora neocirricauda. RNAcentral describes it as "partial 28S ribosomal RNA". It matches the Rfam family "Eukaryotic large subunit ribosomal RNA", at positions 1508 to 1897 of the family's 3401-position model. Lineage: Eukaryota; Metazoa; Arthropoda; Insecta; Diptera; Drosophilidae. The record is from RNAcentral. RNAcentral also lists the same sequence under 1 other name.